GGCAUAGCCCACAUUCUUGUGAAUCACCCACAGUGAUUCCUGCAGUGUUGUCCCCAGCCUCAAGCCUCUCUGCACCGUAAUUGUGCUUCUUUUCCUCAGAUACCUGCCUUGCAUUGGCCCUGGGUAAAUGUUUCCCUUGGCUGUGAAUAGGCAAUUAAAAUUCUGAACCUUUUAUGGCUCUGGAAGCUUAUCCGAUGAAACAAUACUCAUCCAGGCGGAUGGCCCACCAGCGCAAAGGGCUGAGGCCGCUGUAAGCCAAGGUACGCAACGCUUGCUAAACAGGAAUCCCUGGAAUGAAUCCAUGCAUGAGGCCUUUGUGCCAUGUGACAGUUGAAGGCUGUGGUGACCCCGGAACCGUCCCACUCCGAGACGCCUUAACACCGUUUUUCUGCUGUUACAAACCACAGAGCAACGCGUGUGCCUCCUCCCGCCCUGGGGACUCUUUCUGUGGGAGAGGUGCCUGGAUUUAGAGGAGCGACCACUCUUCAUUUGUAGGUACUCUCCCUAGCCUGGGAGCCCUUCAGCUCCCACUCCAGAGUGGUUGUUGGUGGUAAUACGCCAGGCCUGGGGAAGCAGGAGUGGGAAGGUGUGAGAGGUGGGGGAGUGUGGUUGUCAACUGUUCUGAUUUUCCACCAGGAUCUUGGUCACUUUCCCAGUUGUCACUCGGCCCACAAACUAGGAUGUGAGCAGCAUAUUAAGAAUCUGCAGAGAUGUUCCCGUCUGCCCGGCAUAUGGAUGUCCUUCUGGGCUGCAAAGUGGCAUCCUGUGGGCAACUCCCCCCACAACAACCAGCUGUGAGCUGUGCCCAGGCACAGAGGGACCUGGCUUUCCCUGUUUCUGCAGAUGGAGCCCAGGGUUUCAGGGAGGGAGGGGGCAGGCUGGGACCUGUUGGGGAUCUGGGCACUUUCUCAUGCUCCUUGAGCUGCAAGUCAUAGAAGGAGUGGGGUGGGAGCUGGGAAUGUACCUUCCCAAGGCCACUGGCAGAACCAGCAGGCCCUUUGCUCUGGGAUGAGCUCCCUCUGAGGGGUGGGGACAGUAAAGCGGACCGAAGUCCCUGUUCUGCGGGAUGGAAACUGGCUCCCCUCCAUUGUACAGGCCAGCUCUGGGGAUUUGGGCAGCAGAUUUGGGGUUGACAGCAGAAUGACAUGAUCACCAGUUGACCUUGGCCAGGAUGCCAGCUUACUUUCUCGCUUACUUCUGCAGGUUCUUUGUUCUGCGGAAAAUAUUUAUGGCCAGGCAAGGUGGCUUACACCUGUAAUGCCAGCACUUUGGGAGGCUGAGGCAGGCGGAUCACCUGAGGUCGAGAGUUGGAGACCAGUGUGACCAACAUGGAGAAACCCCAUCUCUACUAAAAAUACAAAAUCAGCUGGGGGUGGUGGCGCAUGCCUGUAAUCCCAGCUACUCGGGAAGCUGAGGCAGGAGAAUCGCUUGAACCGGGGAGGCGGAGGUUGUGGUGAGCCGAGAUUGCACCAUUGCACUCCAGCCUGGCAACAAGGGAUAAACCCCGUCUCAAAAAAAAAAAAAGAAAAAAAAAAAGAAAAAAAUAUUUAUAAUGUAACUAAUAUAGCUAAAAUAAAAUGUAAUUUCAGUCUCAAGCCUUCAUUCUGUUAAGGGGACAGAAACUUAAUCUUGGUCAUCUUGGGGUCUCCCUCCCUGGGGCUGUGCCUGACUUCCAGGGGGCUCGGCGUUGGCAGGAUUUCUGGUGCUUGAGGUCACCUGUCAGCCUGUCUCU
This is a long non-coding RNA of Homo sapiens (human), 1732 nucleotides long. RefSeq lists it as uncharacterized. NCBI's taxonomy places the organism in Eukaryota, Metazoa, Chordata, Mammalia, Primates, Hominidae. The transcript is spliced from 4 exons. The record is from RefSeq and is a predicted model, not a curated record.